CUCGUUAGCAGUCAGUGUGGAGAUUAGCUGUUUCUGUUUAGCAGUUUCUGCUGUUUUUAUUUGUAUAUACAAUGUGUCAAAUUAUUGUUCCUCAUGGAGGAAAGAGAAAAAAUACUUUUAACCUCACUAACUGGAUAAUACUGCUCGGGACAGUGCAUCGUUCAGCCCAUUCAAGUGGAUCUCCAGUCCGAGACGAUGCUCCACCACGAGAAGCACUGGAUUUGAUGUGGAUGAGAGGAAGGGGACUGGUGGCAGGGUUGGAGGGAGUCGGAGGCAGGCUCUGGGCGGCUGUGCCGGGGUGUCAGGCUG
Molecule: long non-coding RNA, 309 nt
Filed under: Astyanax mexicanus (Mexican tetra)
Lineage: Eukaryota; Metazoa; Chordata; Actinopteri; Characiformes; Acestrorhamphidae
Description: lncRNA (ENSAMXG00005009762.1)
Source: RNAcentral